RNAcentral lists this ribosomal RNA (440 nucleotides) under uncultured bacterium. Its description in RNAcentral is "partial 16S ribosomal RNA". It matches the Rfam family "Bacterial small subunit ribosomal RNA", at positions 338 to 795 of the family's 1533-position model. The record is from RNAcentral.
CCUACGGGAGGCAGCAGUGGGGAAUAUUGCACAAUGGGGGCAACCCUGAUGCAGCAACGCCGCGUGAGUGAAGAAGUAUUUCGGUUUGUAAAGCUCUAUCAGCAGGGAAGAAGCUGACGGUACCUGCUUACGAAUCCCCGGCUAACUACGUGCCAGCAGCCGCGGUAAUACGUAGGGGGCAAGCGUUAUCCGGCUUUACUGGGUGUAAUGGGAGCGCAGACGGCAGUGCAAGUCUGGAGUGAAAGCCCGGGGCCCAACCCCGGAACUGCUUUGGAAACUGUGCGGCUUGAGUACUGGAGGGGCAGGCGGAAUUCCGAGUGUAGCGGUGAAAUGCGUAGAUAUUAGGAGGAACACCAGUGGCGAAGGCGGCCUGCUGGACAGUAACUGACGUUGAGGCUCGAAAGCGUGGGGAGCAAACAGGAUUAGAUACCCCUGUAGUC